GAUGAACGCUGGCGGCGUGCCUAAUACAUGCAAGUCGAGCGAACAGACGAGGAGCUUGCUCCUCUGACGUUAGCGGCGGACGGGUGAGUAACACGUGGAUAACCUACCUAUAAGACUGGGAUAACUUCGGGAAACCGGAGCUAAUACCGGAUAAUAUAUUGAACCGCAUGGUUCAAUAGUGAAAGACGGUUUUGCUGUCACUUAUAGAUGGAUCCGCGCCGCAUUAGCUAGUUGGUAAGGUAACGGCUUACCAAGGCAACGAUGCGUAGCCGACCUGAGGGGGUGAUCGGCCACACUGGAACUGAGACACGGUCCAGACUCCUACGGGAGGCAGCAGUAGAGAAUCUUCCGCAAUGGGCGAAAGCCUGAUGGAGCAACGCCGCGUGAGUGAUGAAGGUCUUCGGAUCGUAAAACUCUGUUAUUAGGGAAGAACAAAUGUGUAAGUAACUAUGCACGUCUUGACGGUACCUAAUCAGAAAGCCACGGCUAACUGCGUGCCAGCAGCCGCCGCCG
This 513-nucleotide ribosomal RNA is filed under the name uncultured bacterium. RNAcentral describes it as "partial 16S ribosomal RNA". It matches the Rfam family "Bacterial small subunit ribosomal RNA", at positions 28 to 523 of the family's 1533-position model. The record is from RNAcentral.